GACGGUAGCAGUAGAAGAAACCCCGGGCUAACUCCGUGCCAGCAGCCGCGGUAAUACGGAGGGGGUUAGCGUUGUUGGGAAUUGCUGGGCGUAAAGCGUACGUAGGCGGAUUAAUAAGUGAGAGGUGAAAUCCCAGGGCUCAACCCUGGAACUGCCUUUAAAACUGUUAGUCUUGAGAUCGAGAGAGGUGAGUGGAAUUCCAAGUGUAGAGGUGAAAUUCGUAGAUAUUUGGAGGAACACCAGUGGCGAAGGCGGCUCACUGGCUCGAUACUGACGCUGAGGUACGAAAGUGUGGGGAGCAAACAGGAUUAGAUACCCUGGUAGUCCACACCGUAAACGAUGAGUGCCAGACGUCAGCAAGCAUGCUGGUGGGUGUCACACCUAACGGAUUAAGCAUUCCGCCUGGGGAGUACGGUCGCAAGAUUAAAACUCAAAGGAAUUGACGGGGGCCCGCACAAGCGGUGGAGCAUGUGGUUUAAUUCGACGC
Molecule: ribosomal RNA, 487 nt
Filed under: uncultured marine bacterium
Lineage: Bacteria
Description: bacterial SSU rRNA
Rfam family: Bacterial small subunit ribosomal RNA
Source: RNAcentral